This 219-nucleotide ribosomal RNA is filed under the name uncultured bacterium. RNAcentral's name for it is "partial 16S ribosomal RNA". It matches the Rfam family "Bacterial small subunit ribosomal RNA", at positions 524 to 740 of the family's 1533-position model. The record is from RNAcentral.
UACGUAGGGUGCGAGCGUUGUCCGGAAUUAUUGGGCGUAAAGAGCUUGUAGGCGGUCUGUCGCGUCUGCUGUGAAAAUCCGGGGCUCAACCCCGGACUUGCAGUGGGUACGGGCAGACUAGAGUGUGGUAGGGGGAGACUGGAAUUCCUGGUGUAGCGGUGAAAUGCGCAGAUAUCAGGAGGAACACCGAUGGCGAAGGCAGGUCUCUGGGCAGUGAAC